RNAcentral lists this unclassified non-coding RNA (311 nucleotides) under uncultured Pezizaceae. RNAcentral describes it as "sequence contains ITS2". The stretch from base 1 to 52 matches the Rfam family "5.8S ribosomal RNA", at positions 103 to 154 of the family's 154-position model. Lineage: Eukaryota; Fungi; Ascomycota; Pezizomycetes; Pezizales; Pezizaceae. The record is from RNAcentral.
AACGCAUAUUGCGCCUAAUGGUAUUCCAUUGGGCAUACCUGUUUGAGUGUCAGAAUCCUCACAAUUAUCAAACUGUUAAAUAUGUACUAUUUAUUUUUUUUUAUCAAUAGACAUAUAUAUAAUGAUGUUUGGACUAUUAUUGAGAAAAGUAGUAUUUAUUAAAAUAUUACUUUCUUAAAAAUCAGGAUGAUUUUUGUUUUGAUUUUUGAUCAACUCAUUUUGUAUGCAAUAUAACAAAUGAGUAUGAAUAAAAGCAACAAUACUUUAUUUUGGAUGACCUCAAAUCAGGUAGGGAUACCCGCUGAACUUAA